GGAUUUAUAGCCCAGUGGUAAGGAAUUCGACUGCAGAUCGAGAAGUCUCCGGUUCAAACCCGGGUGUCCU
Non-coding RNA from Trichonephila inaurata madagascariensis, 70 nucleotides. The record is from the annotation of a GenBank genome assembly. NCBI's taxonomy places the organism in Eukaryota, Metazoa, Arthropoda, Arachnida, Araneae, Nephilidae.